GAGUUUGAUCCUGGCUCAGGACGAACGCUGGCGGCGUGCUUAACACAUGCAAGUCGAACGGGGUGCCCAUGAAGGAGAUUUCGGUCAACGGAUUGGGUUACUUAGUGGCGGACGGGUGAGUAACGCGUGAGGAACCUGCCUUUCAGAGGGGGACAACAGUUGGAAACGACUGCUAAUACCGCAUAACAUGUAGGUGUCGCAUGGCAUUUACAUCAAAGAUUUAUCGCUGAGAGAUGGCCUCGCGUCUGAUUAGCUAGUUGGUAGGGUAACGGCCUACCAAGGCGACGAUCAGUAGCCGGACUGAGAGGUUGGCCGGCCACAUUGGGACUGAGAUACGGCCCAGACUCCUACGGGAGGCAGCAGUGGGGAAUAUUGAGCAAUGGGCGCAAGCCUGACCCAGCAACGCCGCGUGAAAAGAGAAGGCUUUCGGGUUGUAAACUUCUU
This 444-nucleotide ribosomal RNA is filed under the name uncultured bacterium. Its description in RNAcentral is "bacterial SSU rRNA". It matches the Rfam family "Bacterial small subunit ribosomal RNA", at positions 9 to 435 of the family's 1533-position model. The record is from RNAcentral.